Molecule: transfer RNA, 68 nt
Filed under: Triturus marmoratus (marbled newt)
Lineage: Eukaryota; Metazoa; Chordata; Amphibia; Caudata; Salamandridae
Description: tRNA-Glu
Rfam family: tRNA
About the family: Transfer RNA (tRNA) molecules are approximately 80 nucleotides in length.
Source: RNAcentral
GUUUUUAUAGUUGAAUACAACGUUGAUUUUUCAGGUCACAGGUCUUGGUUAGAGCCCAGGUAAGAAUA